GGCUUCCCUGGUGGCGCAGUGGUUGAGAAUCUGCCUGCCAAUGCAGGAGACACGGGUUCGAACCCUGGUCUGGGAAGAUCCCACGUGCCGCGGAGCAACUAGGCCCGUGAGCCACAGCUACUGAGCCUGCGCGUCUGGAGCCUGUGCUCCGCAACAAGAGAGGCCGCGAUAGUAAGAGACCCGCGCACGGCGAUGAAGAGUGGCCCCCGCUCGCAGCAACUAGAGAAAGCCCUCGCACAGAAACGAAGACCCAACACAACCAAAAAUAAAUAAAUAAAUAAAAUUUAAUAUUAUUACAGGAUGAACUUAAAAGAAAAUUAGCUUUAGUCAACAGUUAUGGCGACCACAGAUAUGGGACCCAGAGUGGACUUCUCUCCUUUACCUGAACUGUACGAGGAACCAGAGCUUGUGCCCGUCUGCCUCCUCAGAGAGUCCAGACGAAUUUGGCCAAAGGCAUUCCAAUCCUGAAGUUAUAUAAACAGAAAGAAGUGGCUCAAAAAAGAUAAGGAG
Balaenoptera ricei (Rice's whale) is the source of this 510-nucleotide long non-coding RNA. RefSeq lists it as uncharacterized. Lineage: Eukaryota; Metazoa; Chordata; Mammalia; Artiodactyla; Balaenopteridae. The record is from RefSeq and is a predicted model, not a curated record. The transcript has 3 exons.